GCCUUUUUCAAAAUGUGGCGGUGGCAGGGAAGGUUGUCUGCUCCAGAGGCUUCCCUAGAGUGAAGAGCUCUACUAUGUAUGCUUUAUGCGGCAGAAGGAGUGCUUUGGAGGAGUUUUUAAAUUUGUUUUUUUUUUAAAUCUUAUCGGUUUUAAUUGUAGCAAUGAUUCAAGAAACGUUAGUAGGUGCCCAUAACUUCGGUGGUGGAGAUCCAAAAGUGAACAAGACAGUGUUCUGGCUGCUAAAUUCUUCUUAACUGGUUAUGCCUGGAGACCUUCACUUGGUUCUGUGCCAGCACUGCCCAUGAACUUCAUAGACUGUGAUCUUUGCUAAGGCCUAAAUGAAUGAAGGUGCAGGACCGGAAGCAGAAGACAGAAAGUGGAGACCAGAUGUUUGAAGCUGGGUAAAGGCAGGGAUGGAGCAGGAACCGAGGAACAAACCUUGGAACUAGGUAAGAAGUUCUCUCUAUGACAUUUCAUUGAGUAGUAAAGGGAGAGCCAAAGCGCUGUGUUAUUGGGACAGCUGUUUGUUGUAUGGUGGGCUGUUUGACUGAAAGGUCAAGUCACAAGGUCAAGUUCACCACAUCUCAGGGCGAUUUCUGCUUUUAUGAACCAGUCUUCACACCAGCAAGAUUCCUUGGCACCUCAAGGUUUGAAGAACAACUACACAACAAAAUUCACUCUAUUCUGGAUGAUGAUGGUCUCCCAACUCAGGUUUAAAGGGCAAUCACUUUCAAAUUAACUGGACAAUCACUCUCACUCUGCCCCAGAGAAUCACUUUUGAAACAUCAAAACACCUAUUUUGGCUCCCUUUUAUGGUACCUUGUCAUUUAAAUCAUACAAAAUGUUACAAAUACAGAACUGUCCAUGUAUGUUUUUAAUAGGGUCAGCGAUAUUAAUGCAGCAGCAGUGUAAGCAGAGCAUUUUAAGAAAUUCUUCCGGUCCUUUUGGAAUUCAGCUUAACAGACAUGUAUUGACAUAACUAACUUGUUCAAUAUGUCUUUCUGUAAGUUAUAAGUGAGGAGAAAGUAAAGCUUUCCAUUAAACUAACAGAUGAAAUUUUUGUAUUAGGGAUAAUGUACUAAUAUGAUACACACUAAUAGGAUAUAUAUUCCAAAGUGCUGUUACAUCAUUUAAUGCAAAGUUACCUCCUACUGGGAACUAAAUAUUAUUUUACAGAAAAUAUAAAUAAUGUAAAGACUUUCUGGGCACUCAGUAAUAACCUGGGAUGUGAAAUAACUUGAUUUGUGGCACUGGCCAUGUACAAUAUCUUUUUGUUGAAGAUGAUUAUCAGAAUUCUAUGGAAAAUGUAUUGUCAGGGUUGUAGAAUGGACGAUUCCUGUUAUGAUUCACUAGGGAACAAGCUUUUUUUUUAAAAUUUUUUUUAUUAUACUUUAAGUUUUAGGGUACAUGUGCACAACGUGCAGGUUAGUUACAUAUGCAUACAUGUGCCAUGUUGGUGUGCUGCACCCAUUAACUCGUCAUUUAACAUUAGGUAUAUCUCCCAAUGCUAUCCCUCCCCCUCCCCCCACCCCACAACAGGCCCCGGUGUGUGAUGUUCCCCUUCCUGUGUCCAUGUGUUCUCAUUCUUCAAUUCCCACCUAUGAGUGAGAACAUGCAGUGUUCGGUUUUUUGUCCUUGCGAUAGUGUGCUGAGAAUGAUGGUUUCCAGUUUCAUCCAUGUCCCUACAAAGGACAUGAACUCAUCAUUUUUUAUGGCUGCAUAGUAUUCCAUGGUGUAUAUGUGCCACAUUUUCUUAAUCCAGUCUAUCAUUGUUGGACAUUUGGGUUGGUUCCAAGUCUUUGCUAUUGUGAAUAGUGCCGCAAUAAACAUACAUGUGCAUGUGUCUUUAUAGCAGCAUGGUUUAUAAUCCUCUGGAUAUAUACCCAGUAAUGGGAUGGCUGGGUCAAAUGGUAUUUCUAGUUCUAGAUCCCUGAGGAAUCGCCACACUGACCUCCACAAUGGUUGAACUAGUUUACAGUCCCCCCAACAGUGUAAAAGUGUUCCUAUUUCUCCAUAUCCUCGCCAGCACCUGUUGUUUCCUGACUUUUUAAUGAUCGCCAUUCUAACUGGUGUGGGAACAAGCUUUGUAAAUGAUUGUUUUUGUUCUUAGUUGUCCUCUAAAUAAACUAGAAAGGUAGAAA
Molecule: long non-coding RNA, 2141 nt
Organism: Homo sapiens (human)
Lineage: Eukaryota; Metazoa; Chordata; Mammalia; Primates; Hominidae
Gene: HCCS-DT
Product: HCCS divergent transcript
Source: Ensembl